UCUGUCUCCAGGUGUUUUCUACAGCCGUAGGUUCAGUAGUGUCUGUCUCCAGGUGUUUUCUACAGCCGUAGGUUCAGUAGUGUCUGUCUCCAGGUGUUUUCUACAGCCGUAGGUUCAGUAGUGUCUGUCUCCAGGUGUUUUCUACAGCCGUAGGUUCAGUAGUGUCUGUCUCUAGGUGUUUUCUACAGCCGUAGGUUCAGUAGUGUCUGUCUCCAGGUGUUUUCUACAGCCGUAGGUUCAGUAGUGUCUGUCUCCAGGUGUUUUCUACAGCCGUAGGUUCAGUAGUGUCUGUCUCCAGGUGUUUUCUACAGCCGUAGGUUCAGUAGUGUCUGUCUCCAGGUGUUUUCUACAGCCGUAGGUUCAGUAGUGUCUGUCUCUAGGUGUUUCCUACAGCCGUAGGUUCAGUAGUGUCUGUCUCCAGGUGUUUUCUACAGCCGUAGGUUCAGUAGUGUCUGUCUCUAGGUGUUUUCUACAGCCGUAGGUUCUGUAGUGUCUGUCUCCAGGUGUUUUCUACAGCCGUAGGUUCAGUAGUGUCUGUCUCCAGGUGUUUUCUACAGCCGUAGGUUCAGUAGUGUCUGUCUCCAGGUGUUUUCUACAGCCGUAGGUUCAGUAGUGUCUGUCUCUAGGUGUUUUCUACAGCCGUAGGUUCAGUAGUGUCUGUCUCCAGGUGUUUUCUACAGCCGUAGGUUCAGUAGUGUCUGUCUCCAGGUGUUUUCUACAGCCGUAGGUUCAGUAGUGUCUGUCUCCAGGUGUUUUCUA
Long non-coding RNA from Oncorhynchus keta (chum salmon), 759 nucleotides. RefSeq lists it as uncharacterized. The record is from RefSeq and is a predicted model, not a curated record. NCBI's taxonomy places the organism in Eukaryota, Metazoa, Chordata, Actinopteri, Salmoniformes, Salmonidae. The transcript has 5 exons.